Long non-coding RNA from Vicia villosa (hairy vetch), 2289 nucleotides. RefSeq lists it as uncharacterized. The record is from RefSeq and is a predicted model, not a curated record. The transcript is spliced from 6 exons. NCBI's taxonomy places the organism in Eukaryota, Viridiplantae, Streptophyta, Magnoliopsida, Fabales, Fabaceae.
UAGGGUUAAGUCACCUUUGGAUUCUUCUCUUCUCCCUCUCACGAUCUCACUCUCUAACAUUAGUGCCUCACUCUCUCAACUCUCAUCUCACCUCUCGAUCGAUAUCUCUCUCGGCUCUCAUGGUCUCUCUGCUACCGAUUCUUCACUCCCUUUGCUAUCACCGAUCCAAUUCUCUCUAUCAUCAUCGUUUUGUUUCGAAUUCAGUAACAAGAAACAUACAAACCUUGAAUGUUACCCUUUAUCCCAAACAAACCCUAAGCCCCAAUUCGUUAUUAUUUUUCGGUGAUUUCAAGAGUAUAUUUACAAGUGAAUCAAAGCAAUUGCAAGUAAAAUAACAACGGGAAUGAAAAGCGGGACCUACAGAUGAUCUUCUUCAGCCCCUCUGCUUCAAGCUUCAGUGAAAUAUUUGAAGUGGAUUGGGGUUUCUAAUGAGGACUGAGUUUAUGAGGGAUUGGGAGAUUCUGCAGAUUUUUCAGAUUUAGUCAAUGAACGCUAUAUUUGGAGGGUGGUUUUAUGGGUAGUUUGGCAGCAAUUUUGGUAUAGAUUCCUCCCUCCUCCUGCUUGUUGGUGCUUCUGUUUUUUUUAUAGGGGGAUUGGAAUGGUAGAAUACAAAAUUCAGGUAUAAAAUUUCUCUCUUUUUUUCUAGAUUUCGCCACUCAUUUUUUGCAAUUCCAUUUUUAGGUUUCCCCGAUUGAUUAAUAUCGAAAAAGAAAUUUCCCCCCUUUUUGUUGUUGUUGAUUGUUUCGUGAUUGACUAUGAUUUCAUACAUCUGGUAUAGCUGCACUUUAUGUUAAGAAGCUUAAAGAUGUAGGUAUUUGUACUGUUGAAUCUGUUGCUUAUACUCCCAGGAAGGAUCUUUUGCAAAUCAAAGGUAUCAGUGAAGCCAAGGUUGACAAGAUCAUUGAAGCAGUUUAUUGACAGCUCCUAAGCUAGUGCCUAUGGGUUUUACUACUGCUAGUGAGCUCCAUGCCCAGCGAGAAUCGAUUAUUCAGAUAACCACUGGGUCAAGAGAGCUUGACAAGAUAUUAGAAGGUUAGAGUCUGAAUUGUAAAUGCUUCUUUUAUGUGUGAAUUUCCAGCAUCGUAUCAAUGCUUUUGCUGCUGAGUGUCAAUAAUUAUAUAUGUUGGUGGUCCUUCAAUCAGGUGAAAUUGAGGCGAGUUCUAUCACCUCAUUUGACCUUGUUAUUCUUUAAACGGAUUUGUUGUUUUUUGCUUCGUGAUUGAUUUAUGUUUUUUAUUUUUCAUUUUGUUGUUGUAGCAUUGGUACAAGGAUGAGAAGUGGAGCACCAGGGAGAAGGAUAAAGACAGAUUUUUUCUUUUGAUUUGGUCAACAAGGUCAGUGGUGAGGGAAAAAUAGGACAAGUAUAUGCUUAUCAAAACUAGUACUGCCAAAAAACUAUGUCUUCAUAUUAAACACACUAAAGAUAACAACAGUAAACCUAAUCACAUUCUGUAGAAGAUGUUAUGCAAAUACUUACUGAGAUUUAAUUUGCAAUACUAUUUCACGUGUUCAUAAUUUGAUAUACAUGCUAACAAAACAAUCUAUGAUGUUAAGGUUCUCAAUCCUUCAAUGCAUUUGAUUAUUUAGUUGAACAUUUAUUUUCCAGCACUUAUGGUUUCCAGUGCUCAGGAAGGUAAAUAUGCAAUUCUUGUAGGCUCCUUGUAUUUAAUUACAUACAAAGAUAGAAAUUCUGAUGGUGAAUGAUUGCUCCUUGUAGGCUGGGAAUCGAUGAAGAGCUCGUGGCUUUUCUUGGGAAAUGAUGUUGUACUAUAUUUGGAGUAUUAAAGAUGAAUCUGUUUUAUUUGGUUCUCAAGGAAAGAAGAGAAGCACCUUAAACUUUGAUGGAUCCUAUCCUAUGUAUGUUCUAUUGACAUACAAGUGUUCCUAGUUGUAGAAGAUCUAUUCAAGAAUGGAUGCUGAAGACAAUGGAGCAAUUCACUGAUGUUUAUUGGAUCAAAUUUUGUCUUUUCAGCAAUGCCAGGUUAUAAACCCUCUUUGGCCAUGAAGAGAUCUUUGAAAAGAAUCAAUUUAGGGAAGGUUGUACCCACUGGCUGUUUGAGACUGAACCGCAACUAUAUACUAUACCUUUGAACUCACUAGUCAUGGUGUAAAACUAUUAGUAGCUCUGUAUUUGGUUUUGUCUUCACACUAGAAGUACAUUUAUGAUACUUUCAUGAUCGCAUAAUCUAAUGCUAGAAUUGUAUUUAUAAAACAUGGUUGAUCCUAAAUAAAUGCUAGAAUUGUAUUUACUUUCAUUUUUAAUUUUAUAUUGAUCAAUAUUAUUGUUAA